AUGUCUGGCACUAAGGUGGAGUUGGUGUGUUGGAAUGUGAAGGGCCUUAAUAGCCCGGCAAAGAAAAAGGCUCUAAGGGAGUUUGUAGAUUCUGUCCAGGCCACUAUUAUUUGUAUCCAGGAGACCAAACUGGCGGUAGUGGACCGCUAUAUUAUCAUGCAAUGUUUAGGGCCGGCUUAUGAUGGUUUUGCUUAUCUCCCUGCUUGUGGAACACGUGGGGGGAUUUUGGUGGUAUGGAAAUAG
This 243-nucleotide ribosomal RNA is filed under the name Triticum aestivum (bread wheat). RNAcentral's name for it is "partial small subunit ribosomal RNA". The record is from RNAcentral. Lineage: Eukaryota; Viridiplantae; Streptophyta; Magnoliopsida; Poales; Poaceae.